UGGGGAAUCUUAGACAAUGGGGGAAACCCUGAUCUAGCCAUGCCGCGUGAGUGAUGAAGGCCCUAGGGUCGUAAAGCUCUUUCGCCAGGGAUGAUAAUGACAGUACCUGGUAAAGAAACCCCGGCUAACUCCGUGCCAGCAGCCGCGGUAAUACGGAGGGGGUUAGCGUUGUUCGGAAUUACUGGGCGUAAAGCGCACGUAGGCGGACUGUUAAGUCAGAGGUGAAAUCCCGGGGCUCAACCCCGGAUCUGCCUUUGAUACUGGCAGUCUUGAGUUCGAGAGAGGUGAGUGGAAUUCCGAGUGUAGAGGUGAAAUUCGUAGAUAUUGGGAAGAACACCGGUGGCGAAGGCGGUCACCUGGCCCGCAACUGACGCUGAGGCGCGAAAGCGUGGGGAGCAAACAGGAUUAGAUACCCGCGUAGUCC
This 424-nucleotide ribosomal RNA is filed under the name uncultured prokaryote. Its description in RNAcentral is "bacterial SSU rRNA". It matches the Rfam family "Bacterial small subunit ribosomal RNA", at positions 355 to 796 of the family's 1533-position model. The record is from RNAcentral.